CCCAGACUCCUACGGGAGGCAGCAGUGGGGGAUAUUGCACAAUGGGGGGAACCCUGAUGCAGCGACGCCGCGUGGGUGAAGAAGCGCCUCGGCGCGUAAAGCCCUGUCAGCAGGGAAGAAAAUGACGGUACCUGAAGAAGAAGCCCCGGCUAACUACGUGCCAGCAGCCGCGGUAAUACGUAGGGGGCAAGCGUUAUCCGGAUUUACUGGGUGUAAAGGGGGCGCAGACGGCGAUGCAAGCCAGGAGUGAAAGCCCGGGGCCCAACCCCGGGACUGCUCUUGGAACUGCGUGGCUGGAGUGUAGGAGGGGCAGGCGGAAUUCCUGGUGUAGCGGUGAAAUGCGUAGAUAUCAGGAGGAACACCGGUGGCGAAGGCGGCCUGCUGGACUGCAACUGACGUUGAGGCCCGAAAGCGUGGGGAGCAAACAGGAUUAGAUACCCGAGUA
RNAcentral lists this ribosomal RNA (445 nucleotides) under uncultured bacterium. Its description in RNAcentral is "bacterial SSU rRNA". It matches the Rfam family "Bacterial small subunit ribosomal RNA", at positions 330 to 792 of the family's 1533-position model. The record is from RNAcentral.